GUACUACCGAUUGAAUGGCUUAGUGAGGUCUUGGGAUUGACUUCGGGGAGCCGGCAACGGCACCCUGUCGCUGAGAACUUGAUCAAACUUGGUCAUUUAGAGGAAGUAAAAGUCGUAACAAGGUUUCCGUAGGUGAACCUGCGGAAGGAUCAUUAUCGAGUUUUGACUGGGUUGUAGCUGGCCUCCCGAGGCAUGUGCACGCCCUGCUCAUCCACUCUACACCUGUGCACUCACUGUGGGCUUCAGAUUGUCGUAAAGCGGGCUCCUUACCGGGCUUGUGAAGCGGUGUCUGUGCCUGCGUUUACUACAAACUAUAUUAAAGUAUCAGAAUGUGUAUUGCGAUGUAACGCAUCUAUAUACAACUUUCAGCAACGGAUCUCUUGGCUCUCGCAUCGAUGAAGAACGCAGCGAAAUGCGAUAAGUAAUGUGAAUUGCAGAAUUCAGUGAAUCAUCGAAUCUUUGAACGCACCUUGCGCUCCUUGGUAUUCCGAGGAGCAUACCUGUUUGAGUGUCAUUAAAUCUUCAACCUGCAAGCUUAUGUGGUUUGUAGGCUUGGACUUGGAGGCUUUGUCGGCCAUGCCCGGUCGGCUCCUCUCAAAUGCAUUAGCUUGGUUCCUUGCGGAUCGGCUCUUGGUGUGAUAAUGUCUACGCCGUGACCGUGAAGCGUUUGGCAAGCUUCUAAUCGUCUUGGUUAGAGACAGCUUUAUGACCUCUGACCUCAAAUCAGGUAGGACUACCCGCUGAACUUAAGCAUAUCAAUAAGCGG
RNAcentral lists this ribosomal RNA (766 nucleotides) under Ganoderma sp. RNAcentral's name for it is "eukaryotic LSU rRNA". The stretch from base 361 to 514 matches the Rfam family "5.8S ribosomal RNA". Lineage: Eukaryota; Fungi; Basidiomycota; Agaricomycetes; Polyporales; Polyporaceae. The record is from RNAcentral.